Molecule: non-coding RNA, 784 nt
Filed under: Rotunda rotundapex
Lineage: Eukaryota; Metazoa; Arthropoda; Insecta; Lepidoptera; Bombycidae
Source: RNAcentral
AAAAAAAUUUUUUAUAGUUUAAAAAUUUAUUAUAGGUUUAUUUUACAUAUAAAUUUUAGUGUUAUAUUUAUUUUAUUUAAAUAAUAUUUUAUUUUAAUUAAAAGUAGUAAUUAAAAUUAAAAAUUUAAGAAAUUAAGAUUUAGUAAUAUUUUAAUUAAUAACUAAUUUUGUGCCAGCAGUUGCGGUUAUACAAAAAUUAAAUUAAAUUUUUUUAGGAAUUAAUAAAUAAUUGAUAAUAAGAUAAGAUUAAAUUUUAAAUUAUUGGGUGAAAUCUUAAUUAAUUAAAAUUUUAUAUUAAAUUAUGAAAUUAAGAAAUUUUAUUAAAAACUAGGAUUAGAUACCCUAUUAUAAAAAAUUUAAGUUAAUAAUACUAAAAUAGUAUGUAAUUAUUUAUAAAAACUUAAAUAAUUUGGCGGUAUUUUAGUUUAUUUAGAGGAAUCUGUUUAUUAAUUGAUAUUCCACGAAUAAAUUUACUUAAUUUAUUUUUUUUUUGUAUAUCGUUGUUAGAAAAAUAUUUUUAAAUAAAAAUAAUAUUUUAAUUUUUUAAAUAAAAAUAAAAUCAGAUCAAGAUGCAGAUUAUAAUUAAGAAUAUAAUGGAUUACAAUAAAUUUAUUUAAGUGAAUAUUAAUUUAAAAAGUUAAUUGAAAUUGGAUUUAAAUGUAAUUUUAUUUAAUUUAUUAAAAUGAUUUUAAUUUAAAAUAUGUACAUAUUGCCCGUCGCUUUCAUUUAUAAAUUGAAAUAAGUCGUAACAAAGUAGAGGUACUGGAAAGUGUUUCUAGAAAGA